GCUACACACCUGAGAGAACUUCAUAAACACUCUCCUCAUUCUGCAUUACAUGUAUUGCAUUAUAAGAUAGGUAGCUGGGUGUCUGUCAAAUAUCAGCUCAAGCUACCUUUUUAACAUACAUGCUAGAAAUGGCAGUCUGUGUAGACUCGGAGGCACCCUUCUCUCUUGUUGCUUUAAAUAUGUUGAGGCUCUGGGUGCUUUGACAGUUAAGGCCAAGGCCUCUCUCUACUGGGAGAAAGAUCAGUCCCUGCAGGUAAACUGAAGGCUUUUCUCUCAUUUUCAACUUUCCGCUUUUCAGGGCCUUCUGAAUGAGGCCUCUGCUCGGCCUAGCUCUUUCCUUGCUAGUCCUGCCCGCCUUAUGCGAUGACACAGUGGCCGACGACAUUGGGACCCACAUGAUGGCUCGCAUCUCGGAGCUCCUGUCCCCGGAGGAAUGCCAGGCCUUCCUCCUCAAACUCCUGGGCCCCGAGGAGAACGUGAAGGACGAGCUGGAGCGCCUCUCCGAGAAGAACAACCCCAUCGGCCGUCGACGAAAACGAAGAAGGCGCCGCGACAUCCUCACCACCGCUCAGUGCAAAGAGACCCUGCAGCAGUGGCUGGAGACGGAAGGAGACACCAUGUACUGGGAUCGCUUGUCCCGGGCUCUCCAGCUGAUCGGCCGCGCCGACGUCUCGCUAGAACUGGGCAAGAACCUCAACCAGGACAAGAACCUGGAGAUCAAGAAGAACGUGGAGGAGUACCACGAGACGGUGAAGCACCUGACCUCCUCGCUGCUCCUGGACGAGGGUCCGCAAGGGAGCGCGCAAAGCCGGCAGCGGCGCCAAGGCCAGGGCUCCGCGGCGGCGCCGCUCGAGCAAGACGAGUGGGACGGGCUGGAGCUGAUGGUGGAGCGGAAAGCGCUGCCGCCUUACAACCGGAGCCUCUUUGAAUGGGCUACGCCUCUGGCGACGGGCGUCCUCAGCGGCUUUCUAACCUCCUUCAUCCUGGUGGCGCUGGCGCUCUACUCUUUCGUCUGGAUCCUGAACGAAGGCAGCAGCCCCAGCUCCACGCCGUUUCCGAGCGACCCCUUGCCCGCCAUGAUCUUACUCCCACCUCCCACCAGCCGCGGAGGCAUCUACUACUCGUUUGAGCACCUCGAAACCUACGGCAGGGAGUCGGGGGACGAUGAAGACGAGGCCGAAGAAACCUUACGCUAAGCCGCAGCCAGGCAAAGCCGGCCUCUCUUCUGAAAAGGGGAGACAAUAAAGGCGGCUCGUUUAUUU
This 1262-nucleotide long non-coding RNA is filed under the name Notechis scutatus (mainland tiger snake). RNAcentral's name for it is "lncRNA (ENSNSUG00000001453.1)". Lineage: Eukaryota; Metazoa; Chordata; Lepidosauria; Squamata; Elapidae. The record is from RNAcentral.